This 322-nucleotide ribosomal RNA is filed under the name uncultured eukaryote. RNAcentral's name for it is "partial 18S ribosomal RNA". It matches the Rfam family "Eukaryotic small subunit ribosomal RNA", at positions 1470 to 1796 of the family's 1831-position model. The record is from RNAcentral.
CCCUUAGAUGUUCUGGGCCGCACGCGUGCUACACUGAGUGGAUCAGCGGGUCAGGUUGCGCGAAAGCGUUCCCUAAUCUUUAAAUCCGCUCGUGAUGGGGAUUGACGGUUGCAAUUUUCUGUCAUGAACGAGGAAUACCUUGUAAGCGCGGGUCAUCAUCCCGCGCUGAAUACGUCCCUGCCCUUUGUACACACCGCUCGUCGCUCCUACCGAUUGAGUGGUCCGGUGAGGCUUUGGGAUCUGAGCGGAAAGAGCGUUUCGCUGUUUCUGCUCGGAAAACUCAGUCGAACCUUAUCAUUUAGAGGAAGGGGAAGUCGUAACA